GAUGAAGAACGCAGCGAAAUGCGAUAAGUAAUGUGAAUUGCAGAAUUCAGUGAAUCAUCGAAUCUUUGAACGCACCUUGCGCUCCUUGGUAUUCCGAGGAGCAUGCCUGUUUGAGUGUCAUGAAAUUCUCAACCUUUUCAGCUUUCUUUGUUGAUCAGGCUUGGAUGUGGGAGUAUGCGGGCUUCUCAGAAGUCGGCUCUCCUGAAAUGCAUUAGCGGGACCUUUGUUGCCUGGCUUUGGUGUGAUAAUUAUCUACGCCAUUGUAGUCAAGCAGCUUAAAAUGAGGUUUCAGCUUCUAACCGUCUCCCCUGAGACAACCUUUUGACAAUUUGACCUCAAAUCAGGUAGGACUACCCGCUGAACUUAAGCAUAUCAAUAAGCGGAGGA
Molecule: unclassified non-coding RNA, 387 nt
Filed under: soil metagenome
Description: partial contains 5.8S ribosomal RNA, internal transcribed spacer 2, and large subunit ribosomal RNA
Rfam family: 5.8S ribosomal RNA (bases 1-120)
Source: RNAcentral